Molecule: ribosomal RNA, 430 nt
Filed under: Bacillota bacterium
Lineage: Bacteria; Bacillati; Bacillota
Description: Firmicutes bacterium partial 16S ribosomal RNA
Rfam family: Bacterial small subunit ribosomal RNA
Source: RNAcentral
UGGGGAAUAUUGGACAAUGGGCGCAAGCCUGAACCAGCCAUUCCGCGUGUGUGAAGAAGGCCUUUUGGUUGUAAAGCACUUUAAGCGAGGAGGAGGCUACUUGGAUUAAUACUCUAGGAUAGUGGACGUUACUCGCAGAAUAAGCACCGGCUAACUCUGUGCCAGCAGCCGCGGUAAUACAGAGGGUGCGAGCGUUAAUCGGAUUUACUGGGCGUAAAGCGUGCGUAGGCGGCUUUUUAAGUCGGAUGUGAAAUCCCUGGGCUUAACUUAGGAAUUGCAUUGGAUACUGGGAAGCUAGAGUAUGGGAGAGGAUGGUAGAAUUCCAGGGGUAGCGGUGAAAUGCGUAGAGAUCUGGAGGAAUACCGAUGGCGAAGGCAGCCAUCUGGCCUAAUACUGACGCUGGGGUACGAAAGCAUGGGGAGCAAACAGG